AUUAGAAUAUUUUAAACGUAUAGCCGGUUGGCUAUACUUUCUAAAUACAUUCGAAUAUUUUAAAAGUAUAGCCAUUCGGCUAUACGCUUGAAAUGUUAAUAU
This 102-nucleotide microRNA precursor is filed under the name Prunus dulcis (almond). Its description in RNAcentral is "sRNA ncRNA". Lineage: Eukaryota; Viridiplantae; Streptophyta; Magnoliopsida; Rosales; Rosaceae. The record is from RNAcentral.